GUUGGUGCUCAUGACUUUUUGGAAACACCUAAUACAUUCCGAACUUAGUAGUGAAACAUAAAGUGAGAGAUUUAUACUUGGAAAGUGAUUUCCUGGAAAAAUUUACUUAGUGCCAAUA
RNAcentral lists this ribosomal RNA (118 nucleotides) under Euglena deses. The record is from RNAcentral. Lineage: Eukaryota; Euglenozoa; Euglenophyceae; Euglenales; Euglenaceae.